UGGGGAAUAUUGGACAAUGGGCGCAAGCCUGAUCCAGCCAUGCCGCGUGUGUGAAGAAGGCCUUUUGGUUGUAAAGCACUUUAAGCGAGGAGGAGGCUACUUGGAUUAAUACUCUAGGAUAGUGGACGUUACUCGCAGAAUAAGCACCGGCUAACUCUGUGCCAGCAGCCGCGGUAAUACAGAGGGUGCGAGCGUUAAUCGCAUUUACUGGGCGUAAAGCGUGCGUAGGCGGCUUCUUAAGUCGGAUGUGAAAUCCCUGAGCUUAACUUGGGAAUUGCAUUCGAUACUGGGAAGCUAGAGUAUGGGAGAGGAUGGUAGAAUUCCAGGUGUAGCGGUGAAAUGCGUAGAGAUCUGGAGGAAUACCGAUGGCGAAGGCAGCCAUCUGGCCUUAUACUGACGCUGAGGUACGAAAGCAUGGGGAGCAAACAGG
This 430-nucleotide ribosomal RNA is filed under the name Acidobacteriota bacterium. RNAcentral's name for it is "Acidobacteria bacterium partial 16S ribosomal RNA". It matches the Rfam family "Bacterial small subunit ribosomal RNA", at positions 355 to 776 of the family's 1533-position model. Lineage: Bacteria; Pseudomonadati; Acidobacteriota. The record is from RNAcentral.